GGGGAAGAGGCUCAGUAGCAGAGCACUUGCUCAGAAUGCAUGAGGCCUUGGGUUCAAUUCCCAGCCCUG
RNAcentral lists this transfer RNA (69 nucleotides) under Fukomys damarensis (Damara mole-rat). It matches the Rfam family "tRNA". Rfam says of the family: Transfer RNA (tRNA) molecules are approximately 80 nucleotides in length. Their secondary structure includes four short double-helical elements and three loops (D, anti-codon, and T loops). Further hydrogen bonds mediate the characteristic L-shaped molecular structure. tRNAs have two regions of fundamental functional importance: the anti-codon, which is responsible for specific mRNA codon recognition, and the 3' end, to which the tRNAs corresponding amino acid is attached (by aminoacyl-tRNA synthetases). tRNAs cope with the degeneracy of the genetic code in two manners: having more than one tRNA (with a specific anti-codon) for a particular amino acid; and 'wobble' base-pairing, i.e. permitting non-standard base-pairing at the 3rd anti-codon position. The record is from Rfam by way of RNAcentral. Lineage: Eukaryota; Metazoa; Chordata; Mammalia; Rodentia; Bathyergidae.